Molecule: long non-coding RNA, 265 nt
Filed under: Mytilus galloprovincialis (Mediterranean mussel)
Lineage: Eukaryota; Metazoa; Mollusca; Bivalvia; Mytilida; Mytilidae
Source: RNAcentral
CGAUUAAGACGCUUAAUGACAUUUUCUGUUCUCCGUUAUUCAAUACUUCUGUUGUCUAGUAAGGUGUGGUGUUCCUCCUUACAAGGUAACUUAUCAACAUAUCUUUAUGUUUCCAUAUGGUAACCUCUACCAUUUGAUUUAUAUACAUCUUGGAAUUGUCUGUUUUCAGAUUUGUUGUCACUAUUAUUUAUACUAGCAGCUUCAACUUCCAUAAAUUUCUCCAUUAUAAAAGUUCUACUCUUCAACUUUGUGACCUACUAAUAUG